CAGUAGCCGCGGGAAUACAGAGGGUGCGAGCGUUAAUCGGAUUUACUGGGCGUAAAGCGUGCGUAGGCGGCUUUUUAAGUCGGAUGUGAAAUCCCUGAGCUUAACUUAGGAAUUGCAUUCGAUACUGGGAAGCUAGAGUAUGGGAGAGGAUGGUAGAAUUCCAGGUGUAGCGGUGAAAUGCGUAGAGAUCUGGAGGAAUACCGAUGGCGAAGGCAGCCAUCUGGCCUAAUACUGACGCUGAGGUACGAAAGCAUGGGGAGCAAACAGGAUUAGAUACCCCGGUAGUCCCUGUCUCUUAUAA
This 301-nucleotide ribosomal RNA is filed under the name uncultured bacterium. Its description in RNAcentral is "partial 16S ribosomal RNA". It matches the Rfam family "Bacterial small subunit ribosomal RNA", at positions 509 to 809 of the family's 1533-position model. The record is from RNAcentral.